Molecule: ribosomal RNA, 467 nt
Filed under: uncultured bacterium
Lineage: Bacteria
Description: partial 16S ribosomal RNA
Rfam family: Bacterial small subunit ribosomal RNA
Source: RNAcentral
GACGAACGCUGGCGGCGUGCUUAACACAUGCAAGUCGAACGGAAAGGCCCUGCUUUUGUGGGGUGCUCGAGUGGCGAACGGAUGAGUAACACGUGAGUAACCUGCCCUUGACUUUGGGAUAACUUCAGGAAACUGGGGCUAAUACCGGAUAGGAGCUCCUGCUGCAUGGUGGGGUUGGAAAGUUUCGGCGGUUGGGGAUGGACUCGCGGCUUAUCAGCUUGUUGGUGGGGUAGUGGCUUACCAAGGCUUUGACGGGUAGCCGGCCUGAGAGGGUGACCGGCCACAUUGGGACUGAGAUACGGCCCAGACUCCUACGGGAGGCAGCAGUGGGGAAUAUUGCACAAUGGGCGGAAGCCUGAUGCAGCAACGCCGCGUGCGGGAUGACGGCCUUCGGGUUGUAAACCGCUUUCGCCUGUGACGAAGCGUGAGUGACGGUAAUGGGUAAAGAAGCACCGGCUAACUACGUG